GUGCUUGCUUUGGCAGCACAUAUACUAAAAUUGGAUGGAUACAGAGAAGUUAGCACGGACCCUGCAUAAGGAUGACAUGCCAAUUUGUGAAGUGUUUCAUAUUUUU
RNAcentral lists this small nuclear RNA (106 nucleotides) under Spermophilus dauricus (Daurian ground squirrel). The record is from RNAcentral. Lineage: Eukaryota; Metazoa; Chordata; Mammalia; Rodentia; Sciuridae.